GGCGGAGGGAAGCUCAUCGGUGGGGCCACGAGCUGAGUGCGUCGCGUCACUCUACCCCAUGUCCCUUGGGAAGGUCUGAGACUAGGGCCAAAAGCGGCCCCAACAGGGCUCUCCCUGAACUGCGGGGAGGUGAGUUCCCAGAGAACGGGGCUUCGCGCGAGGGCAGACUGGGCAGGAGAUGCCAAGGACCCCUACCCCCGGGAAAGGGCCUGGCGGAUGCCUCCUUCGCUGAAGCUUGGAACAGACUCACGGCCAGCUAAGUGAGUUCAAUGGCUGAGGUGAGGUACCUUGUCCGGGGACCUCAUAACCCAAUUCAGACUACUCUCCCCCGUC
Unclassified non-coding RNA from Pteropus vampyrus (large flying fox), 333 nucleotides. It matches the Rfam family "Nuclear RNase P". From Rfam's summary of the family: Ribonuclease P (RNase P) is a ubiquitous endoribonuclease, found in archaea, bacteria and eukarya as well as chloroplasts and mitochondria. Its best characterised activity is the generation of mature 5'-ends of tRNAs by cleaving the 5'-leader elements of precursor-tRNAs. The record is from Ensembl. NCBI's taxonomy places the organism in Eukaryota, Metazoa, Chordata, Mammalia, Chiroptera, Pteropodidae.